GGCGGCUUCUGUAUGCAGGUGGCUUUAGAUGGCUCUUGACGAGCACACACAGAGGUUAGAGAGACGCAGACGAUGAAGAAAAUCGCAGAACAGUUUAUAUGAGCUCAGAUGGCGUUGGAAAGUAUGUGCAACGUGGGAUUUUUAUUGUAU
Molecule: non-coding RNA, 150 nt
Organism: Caenorhabditis elegans
Lineage: Eukaryota; Metazoa; Nematoda; Chromadorea; Rhabditida; Rhabditidae
Source: Ensembl